CUGUGACUUCCAAACUAGGUCAUAUAAGGUAAUAUGACUUCAUCCUGGCCCUUCUCUCUUGGGACGCUCACCAUGGAACCUAGCUGAGAGGAAGCCCAGGCAACGUGGUGAUGCCACACAUGGGUAUUCUGCUCAACAGCCCCAGCUAAGGUCCCAGCCAACAGCCAGCUUUGACUACCAGACAUGUGAAUGAAUGAACCUUCAGAUAACUCCAGCCCCACCUUUGAGUCUUUCAGCUGAGCCUCAGACACUAUGAAGCAGACUAGCUGUCCUCAAAAUGCCGUGUGCGAAUUCCUGACCUACAGGAACCAUGAAAAUAGUAUAGCCAAAUAUUUGUCCAAAGCAGUUGAGCCAGCAACGUAAGAGAGUUCCAAUUGCUUCCUGUCUUCACCAGCGUUUGGGAAACAUUCUGAACAGUGACUGGAUCAUCCAAUACGCGUUUGUGGAAAGCAGAAUGGCGGAGAGGGACGUGGAAGGAUAGAGAAAGAGACGCAGGAGGGGAAGAAGAAUGCAGCAGCUGUGAUGCAAUUCCAGUCCCAGGCCUUAAGAAGAUCUGGCAGCUUCUGCUUUUGCUCCCUGGGGGAAGCCAGCCCGCUGUGAGCAGUCCAACUAUCCUGAGAGAUCACCUGGAGAGGCCAAGCAGAGGAGAACUGAGGAACCCAGCCAACACCAAGGACUGAAGCCUAGAUAUAUGACCCCACUUGAAUUGUUCCAACCAGACCUCAGCUUUUUGAGCCAUUCCAGCUGAGGCCCCAGACAUCACAGAACAGAGAUGAGCUAUUCCCACCAUGCUCUGAUCAAGUUACUGACCCACAAAGCCAUGUUCCAAUGAAAUGCUGUUUUAAGCCACUAAGUUGUGGGAUAGUUUGUUGCACAGCAAAAGAUACCUGAAACAGGAGAUAUUCACCACGAAAAUGACAAUUCCUUUCAUCAUUCUCAGUUUUUAUUCUCCUUAAAAUAUGCCUGUGGGAAGAAAACAACUCUUAAUACAAGUUCCCUAGGAUGUUAUUCUUGUCUGCAUGGUCAUAGGCUGGUCCUUGCCACCUCCACAUUCAAGCACCUGAGAAAGGGUAAAAGCACAAGUGUGUGACAAGGGGCUCAUCGUCAGUUGGAGAUAACCAGAAAGCCGCUCAUUUCACUCACUUCUGCCUGCUGCCCAUUGGCCCUAUGUGAGAGGCUGGAACAUGCUGCUUCUUGUUAGGCAGCCCUGGACCAGGAAGAUGGAGAAGAGAUUUGAGAUGAAAGCA
Molecule: long non-coding RNA, 1247 nt
Filed under: Equus caballus (horse)
Lineage: Eukaryota; Metazoa; Chordata; Mammalia; Perissodactyla; Equidae
Description: lncRNA (ENSECAG00000049478.1)
Source: RNAcentral